Molecule: ribosomal RNA, 530 nt
Filed under: Myxine glutinosa (Atlantic hagfish)
Lineage: Eukaryota; Metazoa; Chordata; Myxini; Myxiniformes; Myxinidae
Description: eukaryotic LSU rRNA
Rfam family: Eukaryotic large subunit ribosomal RNA (bases 381-523)
Source: RNAcentral
AACACGUGCGCGAGUCGAAGGGCUCGAUCGAAACCCCGGAGGCGCAAUGAAAGUGUGCGGUGCGUGCGCGGCCGGGUCCAGGCGCCCCGUCGUCGUCCGCGGGCCGCGUUUCGCGCGGUGCGGGCGCGUCGCUCGGUCGGCCGCGGUUGCUUUCCCCGGGUUCUCCCGGGGGGGUGCCGCGUCGUCCGUGUCGGCGCGCUUUAGAGCCGCGCGAGGCCGAACCCGCGCCGGCAGGGGCGUCCCUCGCGCCCGCGCUCGUUCCACCGUGGGGCGGGAUCCUCGCCGCCGUGGCAGGGGCGAGGCGCACCGCCGGCCCGUCCUACGCUCUCCGUCCGGCGCGAGCCGGCGGAGGCGGACGGAGCCACAACGUACUUGUUGGUACCCGAAAGAUGGUGAGCUACGCCCGGGCAGGGCGAAGCCAGGGGAAACCCUGGUGGAGGCCCGCAGCGGUUCUGACGUGCAAAUCGAUCGUACGACCCGGGCGUAGGGGCGAAAGGACCAAUCGAACCAUCUAGUAAUCUGGUUUCCCU